UACGGAGGGUGCGAGCGUUGUCCGGAAUUAUUGGGCGUAAAGAGCUCGUAGGCGGUUUGUCGCGUCUGCUGUGAAAACCCGAGGCUCAACCUCGGGCCUGCAGUGGGUACGGGCAGACUAGAGUGCGGUAGGGGAGAUUGGAAUUCCUGGUGUAGCGGUGGAAUGCGCAGAUAUCAGGAGGAACACCGAUGGCGAAGGCAGAUCUCUGGGCCGUAACUGACGCUGAGGAGCGAAAGCAUGGGGAGCGAACAGG
This 253-nucleotide ribosomal RNA is filed under the name uncultured bacterium. Its description in RNAcentral is "partial 16S ribosomal RNA". It matches the Rfam family "Bacterial small subunit ribosomal RNA", at positions 524 to 776 of the family's 1533-position model. The record is from RNAcentral.